This is a long non-coding RNA of Bactrocera dorsalis (oriental fruit fly), 1214 nucleotides long. RefSeq lists it as uncharacterized. The record is from RefSeq and is a predicted model, not a curated record. Lineage: Eukaryota; Metazoa; Arthropoda; Insecta; Diptera; Tephritidae. The transcript has 3 exons.
CCCCAACCGCUUGCUGCUUACCGCUUGUCUGUCGCUGAUGUACGACGCGCUGGUAGGCAACAAGGCGACUAGCAACUUUGUACCUGUAACCUUUUGCACUUGGAAAUUGUGCCUACAUUUCGUAGCGGUCGCAUUGACAGUUACUCGACAGCAACGAACAAUACAAUGCAGUAACAACAACAAUAACGGCAACAAGCGUUGGGCAGAAGAAUUGUUCGAAAUACACUAGUAACACGCUUUGAACACGAGACAACGACAUACAAACAAUCUAAACAUAAAUAUAUUUUAAUGCAGCGGUCGUCAAAUGUUUACCAAAUGCCAGACAUUUGCUGAAAAUUGUUGGAAAUUGCAACGAAUUGUGUUUGAAGUGCAAGACUACUCUAACCUCUGAAUAUACAAUAUGGAAAAAAUCAAACAGUACUGCAUUUUGUUCUUUAUUAACACAUCUCAUACUCAUGAGCAUUGAUAAGUAGAAUGGUGAAGGAGAACGGUUCAUUUAAGCAAAACAACAAUAUUUCUGCAAACAAGUGAGCGGCGUGAGAGCAAUGCACACAGUCAUCACAUAGUAUUCUCAUUGGAAUGUGGAAGAGUGCUGCUGAAGUUGAUAUGUGGGCAGAUGUAAACAAAAGUGCGUGUGCAAAGGUCAAUUGAAAUCUAAAAGUAAGUGUUAAAAGAAUUUACAAAAAGUGCACAUCAGGUCGAAGUUUAUUGAAAAUAAAUAUUGGUUUCAAGUAAAUAAAAGAAAUUGUGAGAUAAAAGCAUCAGAAAUAGUUGUAAGUGCUUAAAAUGUUGUGAUUUGUUGAAUAAUUACACUUAUUGCCGCUGCUGCUGCGGCCAUGCAUUCGGUUCGGUUGUGUUCGUUUUCGUGCAAUUUGCUCGUUUUUUUAAAACGUUAGUACGUUUAUAUAAACAAGUGAGAAAUUAAAAUAAAAUCAUUGAGAAUUUUUAAUCUGGUUACAAACGGGUGAUGUUUUUUGAUUUAGUUCAAUUUUUAAAUGAAUUAGAAAUUGUAGAAAUCAGUGAAAUGCCAAUGCCUUUGUGUUUUUUUGCCUUUGCAUUUGUGUUUUUUGUUUUGAUUCAUGUGUGAUUAGUUGCAAUGGAUGAGUGAAGUUGACUGAAAGGAAAACCAAUUGCAAAUUUAUGCACUGGUGAGACUUUGGUGAGUACACACAAUAUUUUUAACAUAGAAAAUACAGGACCUAAAAUACAUAAGU